This 416-nucleotide ribosomal RNA is filed under the name uncultured eukaryote. RNAcentral's name for it is "SSU rRNA". It matches the Rfam family "Eukaryotic small subunit ribosomal RNA", at positions 592 to 1018 of the family's 1831-position model. The record is from RNAcentral.
CAGUAGCGUAUACUAAUGUUGCUGCAGUUAAAAAGCUCGUAGUUGGAUUUCUGGUGGUUGAUUUUGGUCCGCUACUUUUGUAGAUGAGUAUCAUUUUUCAACUAUCAUCCUAAUUGGUUUGUCGGGUUCACGCUCGAUUGAUCAGUUUCUUUUACUUUGAAAAAUUAGAGUGUUUAAAGCAGGCUUGCGCAAUGAAUACAUUAGCAUGGAAUAAUAAUAUAGGACUACAGGUUCUAUUUUGUUGGUUUCUAGACCUGAAGUAAUGAUUGAUAGGGAUAGUUGGGGGUGCUAGUAUUGAGUGGCCAGAGGUGAAAUUCUUGGAUUCACUCAAGACUAACUUAUGCGAAAGCAUUCACCAAGGAUGUCUUCUUUAAUCAAGAACGAAAGUUGGGGGAUCGAAGACGAUCAGAUACCGU